GCGGCGGCGACGGCGGUGGCGGCGACGCUGGUAGCUUUCUACUAUUAGUGCUUCGUAACUACUAGAUUCUUUCAUUUUUACUACAUUUACAUACAGUUUCAGGACUUAUAACUAACAACACAACACACACUAGACAGUAUAUAAACUGAGAGAGACUUAAAGGAGAAAGAACGGAGCCUGACAGAAACAUAUAGAUAUAUAGAUAGAUAGAUAGAUAUAUAGAUAUAUAGAUAUAUAUAUACGGACAUGUAUAUAUAUAUAUAUUAUAAAUAGAAAGAAAGAAAGAAAGAAGGAAAGAAGGAAAGAAAGAAGGAAGGAAAGAAGGAAAGAAAGAAAGAAAGAAAGAAAGAAAGAAGGAAAGAAAGGAAGAAGGAAAGAAAGAAAGAAAGAAAGAAAGAGAGAGAGAGAUGAGAGGGAGAAGAGGGAGACACCCACACGUAAAGACGAAUUCGUUUUGACUACAAUUUGUUCAGUAAACAUACACACACAUAGACACACACAUACACACACACACACACACUAACGUACGUACAUACACACAGUAACGUACGUACGUACAUACAUACACUAACGUACGUACAUACAUACACUAACGUACGUACGUACAUACAUACACUAACGUACGUACGUACAUACAUGUGUACGUACAAGUACAUACUUAACGGCGAUGUAAAAAUAAAUUUUUCUGCCUAAAAAUAUUGGUUAUCGACUUGUUGAAAAGCUAUCACACCACACACCACAAUGGUUGAGGAUAUUAAACGGAGAGAGAAGGAUAUCGUAUGGACUUGUGUGUGAUAUGAUAUCUCUCCCUACACGCUCUCCGUCACAGCAAUAAUAACAUCUAUCACAAUAAUAAUAAUAAUAAUAAUAAUAAUAAUAGUAAUAUUGACAGUGAUGAUGACUACGAUGUUAAGGAUGGUGUUGAUGACGACGGCGAUGAUGCGAACAACAUUGAUAACAACAUCUAAAGCGAUGAUAAUGACGACGAAUAAGGCGACGACCACGGCGACGAAUCUAGUGAUGACACCAGUAACAAUGACAACAACACUAAUGGCUCGUCGAUGACAGAAGUCACACGAAUUGAAAGAGCGACAGACGGACCGAUAUACAUAUAUCUAUAUAUGUGUAUAUAUAUGUAAAUAUAUAUAUAUAUAUAUAUAUUGAAAGAGAGAAAAGCAGAGAGAUAGACAGACAGACAGAUAGAAAGCGCGAGAGAUAGAGAGAGAGAGAGACAAAGAGAUAGAUAGAGAGGCAGAGAUAGAGAGAUCGUGCGGAGGAUGGUAACGGCCUAAUUGAGUUUUAUUGUCGAAGUGAUGCAGUGUGGAGAGGAUGCAAGCCAGGUUAUAUCCGCUGCCAAUGACCGUUUUCUUCAUAUUUUGGUCAAUUUUGCUCACAAACUUUGUGAUUUUAGGAUCUUCUUCUUCUUCAUCUUCAUCCCCCGAUAUUCUGGACGAAUGUCACGUUUUUUGUAAAAAUAAUUAUAACACGG
RNAcentral lists this long non-coding RNA (1489 nucleotides) under Octopus vulgaris (common octopus). The record is from RNAcentral. Lineage: Eukaryota; Metazoa; Mollusca; Cephalopoda; Octopoda; Octopodidae.